GCCCGGGAGGGCAGGAUGGCCCAGGUCCUUAGGCCCUGCACCUGCAUGAGAGACCAGGAGGAAGCACCUGGCUGCUGGCUUCGGAUUGGCGCAGCGCGCUGGCCGUAGCGGCCACUUUGGGGGUGAACCAAUGGCAAAAGGAAGACCUUUCUCUCUGUUUCUCUCUUUCACUGCCUAACUCUGCCUGUCAAAAAAAAAAAAUACACAAUAGUUUAUUGUGAACUAUAGUCACCACACUGUGCUGUGGAACACCAGAACUUAUUCCUUGUGUCUCACACAAAUUUUUAAAAUUUUUGAUGAAGUACUAUUCAUCUAUUUCUUUCUUUGGUAUUCUGUACUUUUGGUAUUCCUAAGAAACCAUUGCCUAAGCCAAGAUCAUGAAGACUACCCUUAUGAUAGACUGUCUUUCUCUAUGUUAUGAUUAUUUAGGAUCAUGAACACUUCUGGGUUCUAAAGAGUGAAUAUGUGCACAGUAAAAUAUCUGGAAGGCUUCUAGCAAAACACUAAUAUGGCUUACUUCUUAAGUAUGUAAUGUAGACUGUUGGUGGGAAUGUAAACCAGUACAAUCAUUAUGGAGAUUCUGCAGAAGUCUGCCAAUAGAUAUACCUUAUGAUCCAGCCAUCCCAAUCCUAAGAAUUUAUCCAAAUGAAAUGAAAUCAGUAUAUGAAAGAAUAAUUUGUGUCCCCAUGUUUACUGCAGCUCAAUUCACAGUAGCUAAGAUGUGGACUCAGCCCAGAUGUCCAUCAACUGAUGACUGGAUAAAGAAAAUGUGGUAUAUAUACACUAUGGAAUACUACUUAGCCAUAAAAAGAAUGAAAUUCUGUCUUUUGAAACAAAAUGGAUGCAACUGAAAACCAGUAUACUUAGUGAAAUAAACUGGUCCCCAAAAGACAAAUAUCAUAUGCUUUCUCUGAUAUGUAGUUGCUUAAUAUAAAAUACAAAAAAAGUAUAGGAAUGAAAUGGACAUAUUGUCAUUUGUUGUUUUUAGUUCUUUUUUAUACUCCUAUAGAACUGCAGGCUUUCUACUUUUUACUUGUUGAAAAUUAUGCUUAGGGAUGCAAUAAGGCGGUGAGUGGAUUGAAAUUAUGUUUUUGCAAAAAUUAAAGCAAAAGAGGAAAGAAGGUGUACUGAGGGAGGGAAACAUAGUUAUCUUCUUAGAAUUGUACCUAUAAAACAGAUGAAAUAUGUUCUCUUUGUAUUAAUAAUAAUUAUAAAAAGAAUCAGUCAUGAAACAAAAUUUAGCUUCUGUUUUUUUUUAAAAGGAUAUAGUAUAGAGCCUCACAACUAUGCCUGAAAUAUUUUAAAACAAGUAAGGGUAGCUUUUGAAAUACACAUAAAACAAGAAAAAAGAGUCCCAAUAUUCAUUUAAUAAAGUUGAAAGUUAUAAAACAUCAUUUUAAAGAUUUUAUUGUAGAAUAAACACAGUUCUGUAUACUUGCUAGAAUGGUUAAAUGUCCCACUAUUAAUAAUGAAACAAAAGAUUUUGGCAAAUAUUGAACAUUUUUAAGAUCGACUGUCUUUAUUUGAAAGGCAGUGUUACAGAAAGCCAGAGUAAGUGAAAGAGAGAGAAGUCUUUAUCUGCUGGUUCACUCCUCAAAUGGCUUCAACAGCUGGAGCUGAGCCAAUCCAAAGCCAGGAGCCAGGCGCUUCUUCUGGGUGCAGGGCCUCAAGGAUUUGGGCCAUUUUCUAACUAUUUUCCCAAGCACAUCAGCAGAGAGAUGGAUUGGAAGUGGAGCAGAGGGGGCUCAAACUGGUGCCCAUAUGGGAUGCUGGCACUGCAGGCUGGGCUUUAAACCCUUGCGCCACAGCACUGGCCCCUCUUCUUAGGCAUAUUUAAGAUGGGCUUGCUAUAAAAGACCUGAGAAAGGUGUGAAAAAAAAGACAAUUUCAAGUCACAAGAAAAUCCCAUAUAUAGAUCAUGUCAGUUGAAAUUCAUACCAAAAAAAUUCCUGUAGGUAACCAUAGAAUCACAUGUGUAUACACACACAGACAUACACAAAUACAAAACAUAUAGAAGCAAAGGCAGAAUCCAAGAGAUUGAAGCACGUGAUCAGGAGUAUCCUCUCUUCCUGUUUCGUAACUACUCAGUUUAUCUUUACUUUGUCAGUUGCAUAUAUUAUGCUUAAGCAUUGAUUAUCAGUAAAAUAAUUUUAUGAGUUUAAAAAAAUAAAGAACUAUCAUAACUAGUUAUCUGUCAUCCAAUGCUGAGUAAUGAAAUAGUGACACAAAAUUCAACCUACAUUUUAACCAUGACAUAAUUGAAGAAAACAAAUAGUCAUGCAUUCCUCUGUGGAUAAAUGUGUAAAUAAUGUCAGCUUUCAUGAAUGCCUGCACAUCUUAUUUUCAACAUUUCAAUACAUGCACCUAUUAAAAUACCAAUAGAGGUUCCUUUGGGGUAGGUUGAGUUGGGAUACAGUAUUCAUGUCUUUCAUUGAUUUGUGUAUUCUACACGAUUUUUCACAAUGCUUAUGUAUUUGAAUUCAAUCACAAAUCUAGAACAAACAUGUACAGAAGAAAUUAUUGGUAAAACUUGCUGGCUUGAUGACACAAAACAAAUCUAAGGAAUCAGUAGUCUUGAGCAUACACAAGAGAAGGUUUGAAGAUACAAUCAUACUUUACAAGUCUUUCUCCAUUUGAGGUGGCAUCACCUGUGAUUUCACCGCACUUCUUUGUAAAUGAAUUUGUAACUGAACAUAUUGUUAAGAAGCAUGUUUAAUUUUGAGAAAUUCCAAAUGUCAGAGGCUACUCUCUUAAAAAUAGUAUUCCAAAGGAUAAUGAAAUGUGAAAAACGUUGUAGUUACAUUCAGUACAGAAAACAUAUUUGAACUCAGAAGAUACAAGGAAUUUGAAUAUUAUUUAAAAACUCAUUAGAUGCAUAUAAUUAAGAGAUGAGGGUGACAUUGAAAACUAUUCUUGUAGGGAUUGAGUCAGUUUAUUUUUAGCUUUGUGAAAUUUCAAAAAUUUGAACAAUUGUGCACAGCAGGUAUUGCUUUUUUGAAUAUCUUGGAUACUAAGAUUAUAAUGGAAUGAAGAAAUUUCAAGUUUUCCAAAUACAUAUAUGUGUGUGGAAACAUGACAAUUUGUGUAAGAUAAUGAUGAAGAUUUUUUUUCAAAAUGACUCCAUAUUCUCUUGAUUGUGGAAAUAAAGAUAUACAUUGCAAGGUGUCCAGUGCGUAACAAAUCUUCCCAGGCAGAUGAAUCAAUGAAUUCACAAGCUUUUAUUGGGAUUCCGCUCCCGGGUGAGGUUCCCCGGUCCCAACAGAGCGGGGGCCGGGGAAGUUGCACGUCAGAGGUUGGGAGGGCUCCUUUUAUAGAUACAGGGCACGGGGGUUAAAGGUUGGGGCAGUUCUGAUCCUCACUGGUUGACCUUUAGACACCUGUGGGGACCUGGACUAGGACUUUUCUUCCCCUGAAGUGCGGGUUAGGGACUCUCCAUUCCCGGAAGUAUAGGCCUUCCCUCCUUGCGGAUCCCAAAGCUACCAUACAUUAGCAUAUAUAUAUGUCUAUACAUGUACUCAUGGUCAAAAAUUAUAUCUUUAAAUCAUGGUGAUUAUUAUAGUAACAAUGCAAUUAAACUUCCCUCUUUUCCAUAUAUGCAUGAGUUUGUAUGUAUAUGUAUAUACAUGUGUGUAUGUACAUAUGCAUACAUAUUCAAAUUUUAUAUUUGGCUUCACCAACAGCCAUAAGUCUACAUUAAAAUGGGAUUCAUCUAUUUAUCAUGAUUUGGAUCAUAUUUUCACUUGUUUUGUUGGCAGAUUUCAUUAUCAUGAAAAAAUUGCAAGAUCCAAUUUUUAGUAGCCAAAUAUGCAGGGAAAUAUGUGUGAAAUAUUGUAGAUGGCUACAAAAAUAGUGAAUGUAUUGACUUGAAGCUUUGAGAAAAUGUGCAUCUGGAUCAUGGUAUAGGAGGUAUGCACACAUUUUGUUUAUACAAUAAUAUAAUCUGUUAUAUUUUUAAUAAUAAGAUUGAAUGUCAGGUAAAACUGUAGGUUAAAAUUUUGAGAAGGGAGAAAAAGCUGCAUUCUGUGAGGUAUACAUGUUUGUUUAUUUUAGGGAAUAUACUUAUAUACUGUAUAUGUGAACAUAAUAAAGUUUAGAAAACAUAAAUCUUCAAAUCUUGAUACCUGAGGGAUGGCAUCAUAGGCAUUAAAUUUCUGCUUGUUAAAAAAUUGUUUUAUGAAUUGAAAAUGUCUUCACUAUGACUCUACUAAUAUUUUUAGUGAAUAUGGCCAUAUGAGGGUUUUUUUGGCUAAUAUUUCAUUUACUAAAAAUUUAGGUCUUGUGGAUUUUCACAAUAAUGACAAACUUCCCAGGAAACAAGUGAAAAUAUGAUCCAACUGGUAACAAAGCCAAAUUUUAAUAGAAAAUUAUUUUGUAUGAAGCUAAAUACAGAUGUUUGUGUGCAUGCAUCAAAAUUAGUAAGUAUAUUAACAUUCAGUUGUUAUUGGUGUGUUGAAACAUAAUCCAAAUGUUUAUCAGUCUCACUGAAAAGUACCAUUUAUCACUGCUUUUAGUCUUCAUUUUCAUAUAGUUCGUUUUUGACUCAUUUGUAUGUCUCAGUUGCUUCUGAGAAACUGAUCCCUAAGUGACAUGAACAUACACAAUAAAGUCAUAGGAAGCCAUUGUCAGCCUUAAUAACUACAUGGAAAUGUCCCUGUGUUCCAGUCUUCAAUGAUGAAACCAUUAGACUACAUUAGCCUCCUCUGAUGGGAAUUUAUACAUACUUGAGUAGGUGCGUCUCUCCAAAUGGGCACUGUAUAGCAGCCAGUCUUGAGAACUACCUUCCUUAGAGUUCUAGACAAAUAGCUGCUUCUCCCUCAACACACAGGCCUGCUAUCCAGGCCAGAAAAUGGUGGAACUUGGAAAGUGAGCCAGGUCAAGAAUCAAAUGUACUUGUUCCUAGAUUUGCUCUUCUCUAAGCCCUUAGGUGCAACCAUUUUCUUUCUGAUCUGGAUCCCUGAAAUUUGCACUCUGAUAGUCCAAGACAAUUGGGUACUAUGAGAAAAUGUUGAAAAAAGUUGAGAAAAAGAACUGCAAAGGCUAGGUAAGUGGAAACUGAAUUUCUGAACUGAAAAGACCCCUUGAUGAGUGUGUAGUUUUAGGCCCCAGAUUUCAGUUAGAUACUAAAAGCAAAAUCAUCAGAGUGUGAACAGUUUCUUUAAACUGGGUAACAAACAAGGCAGCCAUAUUUCCUGGGGCUUUUGUCACUUGGUCACAUUUUUUUUCACACUGGAUGGGCGGGAGAAGAGGGCUGGGGGGCGGGGAGAGGGCAUUGUUAGUUGCCGUUCCUAGAGCAACACUGCCAUCAUGAGGAAAUGAGUGAUUAAAAACCCCCAAGGCUUCUUCCUUUAGCGUCCUUAACUGGGAAAGCCCCAUUCUGUCACAAGCUUAAGCAGGCCCGGUCCUAGUUGGCUCUCAGUUCCGCCUCCUGGGGCCUCCCUAGAGUUCUGGACGAAGAUCAAAGAUGGAGUCCAGGUAUAGCAGCUGCCCACGCGGGAAGCACGACUACGUCUGCCGCUGCCAGGAAGUCUGGGCACAGGAAGUCAUGGGGUGGAGUCUUGGCAUCCUCCCAGUGUGGGCGGGACUAGAGGAAUUCCACCAACUGACAAAGUCCAGGGUCUGUGGCUAUUUGUCUUGCUCCCUGCCCCUCAGAACCUGGGGAAAGCUGACACGUGGUGUUCCCAAGCUCUAGGGACUUGAAAUGCAGAGAACAAGACAAUACCAGGUAGUUUGUAGCAGGGCUCCAUGUGCUCUGCAUGCUGAAGGUCUCAGGUGCACCCAAGCUGUUUGGAGCUUGGAGGGCCUUGAAAAGAAGUGGAACCACCCAGCUAAGCUAAGAAGUGUUAGCUUUUCUGCUAGGAGAGCAGACCGCGCCCAAACAGAUGGAGACCAAAAACAAAAGGAGAAGACUGAAGAUGAACCUACCUUUUAAAAGUCCUUGUCUGCUGGAAGUGGCAUUUCCUGCGACUCUGCUUCACUUCUUCGUACAUGGCUGUUGUAGCAGGCAUGGUUCCUGGAGAUUCCUUCUAGUACCACCCAGACAAUUCGGUAUCACCAGGAAACUCUGGAGACACAAUGCUGAGUGAAGACCAGUAGCAAUGGGAAGACAUCGUCCUGUGGAAAUUAACUUCUUGACCAGAGAAGAUGCCUGAUGAUGUUGUCUUUCAGGUUUUCAGACACAUUCCAGGGAGAGGAGCAAACAUCAGCCGCCUUGAACUGGUUCAGGCCCUACUGUAAGAGUGGUGCCUGCACAGAUGCAUCAAAAAGUACCCAAAGGUCAGAUUUGCUUCAUUUCAUUACUAACAUCUCAUUACUGUAACACACAUCCAGUGUUGAUAACAUGUUCCCAAACUGCGCAUGAGUGUGAUGACACCCCUACCCUACAUGGGAUGACAAGAAUGCCCCCUCUUAAAUAUUCAUUUUCCACUUAAAUUAACAAUACCCUUUCCCUUACUUGGAGAGGCUUGGCUUUGAAAAUGAUUCCCUGUGACAUUGCUAUUUGCUGCAAAUAAAGUACUUUGCAUAGCAA
Non-coding RNA from Oryctolagus cuniculus (rabbit), 6526 nucleotides. The record is from RefSeq and is a predicted model, not a curated record. NCBI's taxonomy places the organism in Eukaryota, Metazoa, Chordata, Mammalia, Lagomorpha, Leporidae.